Long non-coding RNA from Papaver somniferum (opium poppy), 534 nucleotides. RefSeq lists it as uncharacterized. NCBI's taxonomy places the organism in Eukaryota, Viridiplantae, Streptophyta, Magnoliopsida, Ranunculales, Papaveraceae. The transcript has 3 exons. The record is from RefSeq and is a predicted model, not a curated record.
UUUCAGCUUUUCGGUUCUCUCUCACUCACCCUCUUUCUCCCUCCUUAUUUCUCCAAAACCUUCUAACCAGAGAGAACAAAAAUCAAAAUGAUUGAAGAAAUCAAACUAAAACUAGUUGUUGAUAGGAUUACAGAGAUACAGAUCAAUCGAAAUAGAAAAUAUCAGAAAACAAAACAAAAACAGAAAUCCAGGGUUUGUAAUCGAUGUUUGGAAAUUGAUAACCUGUAAUCUUCAAAUUAAGGUACAAAUCAAAGCUUUAAAGUCUAGCACGGUAAUGAAUUCACCCAACAGAGAAGAUUCUAACCACUCCACUCCCAGAUUCGUCAAGUGGCAUUAAUUGGUGUGACUAGAGAAGAAAUGGAUGCCAAAGUAAAUAAGUAAAGACUCAAAAAGGCGUUCUGCAUCCUAAAAAGCUACUACCUGAUGGCGCACUUAUGAACUCAUGUAAAUCUGCAGAAAGGAAUAAUCUUAAAAACACUCUUGAUUAGAUGUAGUACUCUUGUUUGUCUUAGUUUAAUCUUUUGAAUGACUGAA